ACGGUUAUAGUUUAAUGGCAGAGCUAUCGUUUUCCAAACGAUGUGUGAGGGUUCGAAUCCCUCUAACCGUA
This 71-nucleotide transfer RNA is filed under the name Arthonia cupressina. RNAcentral describes it as "tRNA-Gly". It matches the Rfam family "tRNA". From Rfam's summary of the family: Transfer RNA (tRNA) molecules are approximately 80 nucleotides in length. Their secondary structure includes four short double-helical elements and three loops (D, anti-codon, and T loops). Further hydrogen bonds mediate the characteristic L-shaped molecular structure. tRNAs have two regions of fundamental functional importance: the anti-codon, which is responsible for specific mRNA codon recognition, and the 3' end, to which the tRNAs corresponding amino acid is attached (by aminoacyl-tRNA synthetases). tRNAs cope with the degeneracy of the genetic code in two manners: having more than one tRNA (with a specific anti-codon) for a particular amino acid; and 'wobble' base-pairing, i.e. permitting non-standard base-pairing at the 3rd anti-codon position. Lineage: Eukaryota; Fungi; Ascomycota; Arthoniomycetes; Arthoniales; Arthoniaceae. The record is from RNAcentral.